AGGUAUCGGAUUACUGGGCGUAAGCGCGCGUAGGCGGCUAAUUAAGUCAAAUGUGAAAUCCCCGAGCUUAACUUGGGAAUUGCAUUCGAUACUGGUUAGCUAGAGUGUGGGAGAGGAUGGUAGAAUUCCAGGUGUAGCGGUGAAAUGCGUAGAGAUCUGGAGGAAUACCGAUGGCGAAGGCAGCCAUCUGGCCUAACACUGACGCUGAGGUGCGAAAGCAUGGGGAGCAAACAGGAUUAGAUACCCUGGUAGUCCAUGCCGUAAACGAUGUCUACUAGCCGUUGGGGCCUUUGAGGCUUUAGUGGCGCAGCUAACGCGAUAAGUAGACCGCCUGGGGAGUACGGUCGCAAGACUAAAACUCAAAUGAAUUGACGGGGGCCCGCACAAGCGGUGGAGCAUGUGGUUUAAUUCGAUGCAACGCGAAGAACCUUACCUGGCCUUGACAUAGUAAGAACUUUCCAGAGAUGGAUUGGUGCCUUCGGGAACUUACAUACAGGUGCUGCAUGGCUGUCGUCAGCUCGUGUCGUGAGAUGUUGGGUUAAGUCCCGCAACGAGCGCAACCCUUUUCCUUAUUUGCCAGCGAGUAAUGUCGGGAACUUUAAGGAUACUGCCAGUGACAAACUGGAGGAAGGCGGGGGACGACGUCAAGUCAUCAUGGCCCUUACUGCCAGGGGCUACAACACGUGCCUACAA
This 693-nucleotide ribosomal RNA is filed under the name Acinetobacter calcoaceticus. RNAcentral describes it as "bacterial SSU rRNA". It matches the Rfam family "Bacterial small subunit ribosomal RNA", at positions 540 to 1230 of the family's 1533-position model. The record is from RNAcentral. Lineage: Bacteria; Pseudomonadati; Pseudomonadota; Gammaproteobacteria; Moraxellales; Moraxellaceae.